Molecule: ribosomal RNA, 401 nt
Filed under: uncultured Pseudomonas sp.
Lineage: Bacteria; Pseudomonadati; Pseudomonadota; Gammaproteobacteria; Pseudomonadales; Pseudomonadaceae
Description: bacterial SSU rRNA
Rfam family: Bacterial small subunit ribosomal RNA
Source: RNAcentral
GACAUGCAGAGAACUUUCCAGAGAUGGAUUGGUGCCUUCGGGAACUCUGACACAGGUGCUGCAUGGCUGUCGUCAGCUCGUGUCGCGAGAUGUUGGGUUAAGUCCCGUAACGAGCGCAACCCUUGUCCUUAGUUACCAGCACGUUAUGGUGGGCACUCUAAGGAGACUGCCGGUGACAAACCGGAGGAAGGUGGGGGAUGACGUCAAGUCAUCAUGGCCCUUACGGCCUGGGCUACACACGUGCUACAAUGGUCGGUACAAAGGGUUGCCAAGCCGCGAGGUGGAGCUAAUCCCAUAAAACCGAUCGUAGUCCGGAUCGCAGUCUGCAACUCGACUGCGUGAAGUCGGAAUCGCUAGUAAUCGUGAAUCAGAAUGUCACGGUGAAUACGUUCCCGGGCCUU